RNAcentral lists this ribosomal RNA (308 nucleotides) under uncultured beta proteobacterium. RNAcentral describes it as "bacterial SSU rRNA". It matches the Rfam family "Bacterial small subunit ribosomal RNA", at positions 1073 to 1390 of the family's 1533-position model. The record is from RNAcentral. Lineage: Bacteria; Pseudomonadati; Pseudomonadota; Betaproteobacteria.
CGUGGGUAGUCCCGACGAGCGCACCCUUGUNUUAGUUGCUACAUUUAGUUGGGCACUCUAAUGAGACUGCCGGUGACAAACCGGAGGAAGGUGGGGAUGACGUCAAGUCCUCAUGGCCCUUAUGGGUAGGGCUACACACGUCAUACAAUGGCUGGUACAAAGGGUUGCCAACCCGCGAGGGGGAGCUAAUCCCAUAAACCCAGUCGUAGUCCGGAUUGUAGUCUGCAACUCGACUGCAUGAAGUCGGAAUCGCUAGUAAUCGUGGAUCAGAAUGUCACGGUGAAUACGUUCCCGGGUCUUGUACACAC